Molecule: ribosomal RNA, 506 nt
Filed under: uncultured bacterium
Lineage: Bacteria
Description: partial 16S ribosomal RNA
Rfam family: Bacterial small subunit ribosomal RNA
Source: RNAcentral
GAUGAACGCUAGCUACAGGCUUAACACAUGCAAGUCGAGGGGUAACGAGAGGAAAGCUUGCUUUCCUUGUCGACGACCGGCGCACGGGUGAGUAACGCGUAUCCAACCUGCCCCCAACUAAGGAAUAACCUUGCGAAAGUAAGACUAAUACCUUAUAAUUUCCUCAGAUGUCAUCUGACGAGGAAUAAAGAUUUAUCGGUUGUGGAUGGGGAUGGGUCUGAUUAGCUUGUUGGCGGGGUAACGGCCCACCAAGGCAACGAUCAGUAGGGGUUCUGAGAGGAAGUUCCCCCACAUUGGAACUGAGACACGGUCCAAACUCCGACGGGAGGCAGCAGUGAGGAAUAUUGGUCAAUGGGCGAAAGCCUGAACCAGCCAAGUAGCGUGCAGGAUGACGGCCCUAUGGGUUGUAAACUGCUUUUAUACAGGAAUAAAGUUAGCCACGUGUGGUUAUUUGUAGGUACUGUAUGAAUAAGGACCGGCUAAGUCCGUGCCAGCCGCCGCCGUAA